Molecule: ribosomal RNA, 389 nt
Filed under: Syndiniales sp.
Lineage: Eukaryota; Dinophyceae; Syndiniales
Description: partial small subunit ribosomal RNA
Rfam family: Eukaryotic small subunit ribosomal RNA
Source: RNAcentral
AUUCCAGCUCCAAUAGCGUAUAUUAAAGUUGUUGCGGUUAAAAAGCUCGUAGUUGGAUUUCUGCUUAGGACAGCCGGUCCGCACUUCGUGCGUGUAUCUGGUUUGGCCUGGGCAUCCUCUCGGAAACUGUUCCUGUGCUUGAUUGCAUGGGGCGGAGUUCGGGACUUUUACUUUGAGGAAAUUAGAGUGUUCACGGCAGGCAAUCGCCCUGAAUAUAUUAGCAUGGAAUAAUAAUAUAGGAUCUGAUGCCUAUUUUGUUGGUUUCUAGGUGUUAGAUAAUGAUUAAUAGGGACAAUUGGGGGCAUUCGUAUUGUUGAGUCAGAGGUGGAAUUCUUGGAUUUCAACACGACGAACUACUGCGAAAGCAUUUGCCAAGGAUGUUUUCAUUA